RNAcentral lists this long non-coding RNA (3349 nucleotides) under Homo sapiens (human). RNAcentral's name for it is "HSALNT0181006". The record is from RNAcentral. Lineage: Eukaryota; Metazoa; Chordata; Mammalia; Primates; Hominidae.
UGGGGUUUCACCAUCUUGGCCAAGAUGGUCUUGAACUCCUGACCUCAUGAUCCACCCACCUUGGUCUCCCAAAGUGCUGGGAUUACAGGCGUGAGCCACUGAGCCUGGCCCAACAAUGAAGCUUUUUAAACAGAGUAGUUUGAGCUAAACUGGGGUCUUGAGAAACUUGUGACAAUGACUAGUGAAAAGUCUCAGAGAUAAUGGCAAGGAAAUGGUAAUAGAGUUAGUGAUAAAAGUGUUGGAAGAAAUUUCUGAGCUGCAAUUAAUAAAAUUAGGUGACCAAUGAGAUGUUCAGAGUAUGGAAGGGAGUUAUUCAGGAUAACUCUAAUAUUUCUGGAGCACCAACAAGAUUUGUAGUUGGCAGUAUGGGAACAUGAAGGGCAGCUUGUGGCCUGUGUUUGAAAUGUGUUGUUGAAGGUGCCUGCUGGACAUAGGGGCACUCUACAUGUGUCCCAUAGUUAGAGAAGAAGGCAGUGAAGUGGAAGAAAUGGAAGACACAAGAGAGAAAGAGAUGAUAAGUGAGGUGUUAGAGGAGGCACGAAGGAAGGGGAUCCAGGGCACAUGGUACAGGGCUAGCCUUGGAGAGCAGAAGGGAGAAAGCUCCAACAUUACUGAGUAUCUGCCAUGUGCCAGGCACUGAGGAUACGUUUUUUUAUUUAAUUCUUAUGAAUAAAUAUACGGUGGUAAGGUGCUAUUAGCCUCAUGUAAUUGGUGUGGAAAUUAGGCUCAGAAUGGUUAAAUGUCUUCUUAGGAUCACUCAGUGAGUAAGUAACAGACCUGUAUUUCCAAAAUUCUGAUCCAGCUCUUCUUGGAGAGUACAAUAAGGAGUCUAACUCCAUUGUGAUUGUUGAUAGUUUUUUUUUUUUUGGACAGGGCCACACUCUGUCGCCCAGCCUGGAGUACAGUGGCACAAUCACAGCUCACUGCAGCCUUGACUCCUCAAGCUCAAGUGAUUCUCCUACUUCAGUCCCCAGAGUAGCUGGGACUAUAGCCAGUUUCAGACAUUGGAAGCCGGACCUGCUCUGCCCAGAAAGCCUCAUUAUGUGAGUAAUCAAUCUUUUCAUACUCUUGGUGCAUGCGUGUCAGCCUCAUUCUCAAUAUUUAAACCAAAUUUUGGGUAGAAGCGUCUUCUGUGGGGCAACCACAACAGUUGACCCUGUGAGCAGGCUGUCUAGGAGAUGACCACUAGCACCAAAGGUCUUCCUUCUCUUCUUGCAGAAGAGAGCCAUGCCAUUUCUUCCUCUGAGACACAAACUGAAGAGGGAAAGAUGGACAUAGUAAUGCACACAUUUAAAGAUGUAAUGGUGCAAGAGACAGGGUUGUUGGAGAAAAAGAGGAGAGAGGUGUUCUGCUGUGGUGGUGAGGCUUGUGUACUUGCUGGGGGAGAGGCCAAAGAGAAUGCACUCAGAAGGAAUUAGAAGACUGCUGGGUGACACUGUGGGUCACCCGCACAGUCAUGGUGGCUCUAAUUUGCAUGAAUUAAGUAGUUUUUUAUCUAGCAGUGGACUGCAUCCUGGGAAAAAUCUGCAUAUAAUUUUGGGAUAUUCAUAAACCUGCUGAACUCCAACUAGGGGAUCAAGAACUCAGGGUUAAAAGUUUCUCUGACUGAGUGGUCUCAAUGAAGAUGGACAGGCUUGGUUGGAAGAAGAUGAUGGUGGAAGUAGGUGAUUACAAUUAAGGCAUGGGGCUUUAAAGUUUGCAGACACAGGGGCUAUCUCCAGGUAUGGUCAUUUCUUCUGAGUCACUUCUUUUUGGCUGCUCCCCCAGCAAGUGUAUAAACCUCACCAUCCUGCCAAAGCCCACCAGACCACCACACUCCUCUUUCCCUCCAACAACCCUGUCUCCUGCACUACUAACUCCUUAUGUUUGUGUAUUAAUGUGCCCAUCUUUCCCUCUGCAGCUCAGAGGAGGAAAUAUUGUGUCUCUCCCUUGCAGGAAGAGAAGGAAGUACCCAGCACCCCAGGAGUCAAGUGUUAGCUGACCCAAUUAUUCACAUGUUGAAGACAGGCAAUGGCAAAAAUUGGAAUGGAAAAAAAAAAGAGACCCAAAUCCUCUAUGACGCCAGGAGGUAAUGAUGGAGCAGUGGUGAGAACCACUGAAUGCCACAGGCCUCAAAGGAAGAAAAAAGAGCUUUUGAAUGAGGCAAACUGCUGCAUGGAUAAGAGGCAGUCUGGCCGCAUGAGAAGGUUAAUCCUUGAGCAUCCUUCUCUUGGGAUUUUCUCUGGGAAAAUCCCAGUUUCACUUCCAGGAAGGUGUAUUAGUUUCUUAGGGCUGCUAUAACAAAGUACCACAAACUCAGUGGCUUAAAACAAGAGAAAUGUAUUCUUUCCCAGUUCUGGAAACUGAAAGUUUGAGAUUAAGUGUUGGCAGAGCCAUGUUUGCUCUGAAGGCUCUAGGGAAGAACCCUUCCUUUUCAUGUCCUGGCUUCUGGUGAUGUCGGCAAUCCUUGCAUUCCUUGACUUGUAGCUAUAUUGCUCCAGUCUCUGCCUCCAUUCUCUUCCCUGUGUCCCCUCUGUGUCUUCAAAUCUCUCUCUCCUUGAAAGGACACUAGCCAUUGGAUUUAAGGCCAUCCUAGUUAAGAAUGACCUCAUCUCAACUUGAUUACAUCUGCAAAGGCCCUAUUUCAAAAUUCAGUUACAUUCAAAUAGACUGGGGUGAGGAUGUCAAAAUAUCUUUUUGGGGGACACAAUUCAACCUACAGCAGAAAGGAAUAGAAGCAACAUUGUGUGAUCAGGCUGAAGGAGAGAUGAAUUAUUUAUAAUCGAGUGAGGACUUCAUAGAAUUAAACAGAAAGGAUUAGACAUGGGUUAUCAAGAGAUGACUGUCAAAAGGCAGGAAGCUUGGAAGAGAUAGUUGUAGCACUGAUGCUUAUAAAGCAGAGAUCUGAAAGUUGAAGGUCCCAGGGAAAAGCCAGAUGAUGUCAAUGAGUGAAACAUCCUGCAUGGGGUGUGUAGUGAAAUCUGAAAGCAGCCACUGCUCAGCUCCAGCUGGUUGCUGUCACAAGAGAAUAGACCCCAUGUUGUCAGAUUUUUCAAAAAUAAGCAGUACACUCAGAUUAUGUGGCAUCUCCUGAAUUUAAAAUGAUGACAGCUAGUUACACAUGUUGAUGAACUGUAGAGACUACAAACCCUGAUGCUGGCUGGAUUUGUACCAUGGAUGGUCAAGGAUCACAUAGCUAGGAGAGGCAGGGUAUACAGGACAGGCAGGGUAUACAGGACAGGCAGGCAGGAUAAAAAUGGAAUGCACAGCUCAGUGUUCUCAUUGGCAUGCCACUGGUCUCCCUGGUCAUAUGGAAAGCUGUUAGGAUGCAGAGUCUAAGCCCUGGUGGUUUCUGCUGAGCAGGCUGCCG